GAUGAACGCUGGCGGCGUGCUUAAUACAUGCAAGUCGAGCGAAAGGACGCGAUGCUUGCUUUUCUGAUGUUAACGGCGGAAGGGUGAGUAAAGUAAGCAUAACCUACCUAUAGGAUUGGGUUAGCUUAGGGAAACUGGUGCUAAUACGGGAUAAUAUUUUGAAGGGCGGGGUUCAAAAGCGAAAGACGGUCUUGAUGUCACUUAUAGAUGUAUCCGCGCUGGAUUGGUUAGUUGGUAAGGUAACGGCUUACCAAGGCAAGGAUGGAUAGCCGACCUGAGAGGGGGUACGGCCACACAGGAACUGAGACACGGUCCUGACUCCUACGGGAGGCAGCAGUACGGAAUCUUCCGCAAUGGGCGGAAGCCUGACGGAGCAACGCCGGGCGAGUGAUGAAGGUCUUCGGAUCGUAAGACGCUGUUAUUAUGGAAGAACAUAUGCGUAAGGAGCUGUGCACAUCGUGACGGUACCUAAACAGAAAGCCCCGGCUAACUACGUG
RNAcentral lists this ribosomal RNA (497 nucleotides) under uncultured bacterium. Its description in RNAcentral is "partial 16S ribosomal RNA". It matches the Rfam family "Bacterial small subunit ribosomal RNA", at positions 28 to 507 of the family's 1533-position model. The record is from RNAcentral.